Aedes albopictus (Asian tiger mosquito) is the source of this 117-nucleotide non-coding RNA. Lineage: Eukaryota; Metazoa; Arthropoda; Insecta; Diptera; Culicidae. The record is from Rfam.
UGCUCAGCAACUCCUAUCCCUACCUCCACGCGGUACCGGCCUAAAACUAUGAGCAACCUUAGGGAAGAUCGGGUAACCAACCCGGUGGGAACUUUGGUCGUAGGCUGACAGGGAAGG